RNAcentral lists this unclassified non-coding RNA (294 nucleotides) under Hevea brasiliensis (rubber tree). Lineage: Eukaryota; Viridiplantae; Streptophyta; Magnoliopsida; Malpighiales; Euphorbiaceae. The record is from RNAcentral.
CGUAUUACCUUUUUAUAGUCUGCUAAUGAACCCACCUAUGAUAAAAACAAAUUCAGCCCAAUUUGUUCUAAUUCUUGGGGCAGUUUUGCCCUUUUUUAUCCACCAGGCCCCAUUUGUCACACUUUGGCAAACUUAUGAUUUAAGGUCCAAUCUUAGAAUAUUAUUUUGUAGCUAACAAGGGCAGAUAAAAAUAUUAUUUAACAGUAUUGCCUGAACUCAAUUUAAAAACCGUGAUAAUGAAUGCAAUUUAACAGGAAAUGCUAUUACCAGUAGCAAAAAGCACAACAUCUGCCA